UGGACCUCAGAUCAGGCAAGAUUACCCGCUGAGUUUAAGCAUAUCACUAAGCGGAGGAAAAGAAACUAACUAGGAUU
This 77-nucleotide ribosomal RNA is filed under the name Porella obtusata. RNAcentral's name for it is "partial 26S ribosomal RNA". It matches the Rfam family "Eukaryotic large subunit ribosomal RNA", at positions 1 to 76 of the family's 3401-position model. The record is from RNAcentral. Lineage: Eukaryota; Viridiplantae; Streptophyta; Jungermanniopsida; Porellales; Porellaceae.